CUUUGUGUUUGUUAUAUGACUUCAUCGUGCAACAAUGUUCGAAGAAUAUUGUCUGACUUUUUGUGCCAUGAAAACGUCUUUCAUUUUUCAUGUCAAAGCUGUACGGAUAUUAAAGUUAUUUUUCAUUUCAGGGUUAUCAAAAACAAUGCUUAUGACCAUAUGACAUGCAAUGUGAAAGCAUUAAAUUCAGCUAUUCUUGGUGCAUGACAUCGUGUGUAAUUGCAAUCCAGUUCCAUACCAAGCUCUACAACUAAUAAAAGUAUCUCCCUCGCGGAACGUGAUUAUUUACACACACUGGUUCUAUCCUAUCAGCAGUCAACAAGUUUUUUUAUUUUAAUCUGUAACUUUUCUUAAUAGGUGCAGCAGUUGACACAUGUUUCAGAUUUCUUUCUCCUUAUACUAUUUUCUUCACAAGCUUCACCUAUAAAAUUUAAUUUUCAGAUUAGAUGGACGAUUUUACCAUAGAUAUGGCUUGUUUUUUCGGGUUUUGUGAACUCAGAUAGGACACUGGAGGCCAUGCUGCUCUUGCCUGUGGCUUGGUUUAAACUUCUUAUAUCCUAGAAUUCACUAAUUAGAAAGAAAAAAAACGUACAUGGACCCCUACAAGGUUUAGGGGAAAUAUAGAUUUCUAUCGAAUAUUUCAGAAAUAUACAUUUUAUUUCUUAGUUUUUUCUAUGUUAUAACACAUAAUUCCCUAUUGUUAUCUUAUACAUAUCCAACCUCAUGGGCAUUAAUUUGUUUCUCUAAAAUAUGAAGUUUGUGCAAGAAAAUUUAUGAGAAGCUCAAAUCAGAGUCUCAACAUCUUUAUAGUAUUGUUUACAAUGAUAUAAUGAAGCAAACAAUAUCAUGAAUGAUGCUGAAAUUUAUUGUUAACCAAGAAGUGCAUCACUUCAAGCACCGGUGUCACUUGGCUGCCUUGAGUAGAUUGUGAUCUUUGAAGAGCGAAAACAGAAUAUUAGAUUGUGGUCUUUGAAGAACAAAACAAACUAUUGAUUUUCUUUUUGUGUUUGCGUCUUGUUAUUUGUUGUAUUUUUAUUAUUAAAGAGGAAUUGAAGUCCCAAGAUGGGAAGAAACAUGCCCCAAAAAUGAAAAGGAUAAUGUCGUGAUUUGCUUUUGUACUUUAGAAAGGGCAUCGCAUAUUUCUGAAACAUUGGGUGGGAUUUGUAGUUACCUCAAAUCUCGAGAAAGGUUAGUAUAAUUUACUCUAAAAAGAAAAUCAUAGGUAAUAGCUGAAAGUAUCACCAGAUUACAUUUUAUUUAUUCCAUUGACACUAAACAAAUUAGUAAUGUAUAUAACGUUACACAGGGGUUAGCGUGCAUCAUCUACAUGCUUUAGGUGGGACGCUUGGAAGGAAAUCGGCUGUAUCUUCUGGAAGGUUUCACCUUUUUUCGUACGAAACCACCACUAGGGAUCACCUACUGCAUAGAUCUCAAGGCACUCCAAGCUCCAUCAUUCCUCUAUCAGCAUAAAUCUCAAAGCGAGCAACUAAUGAUCUAGCAAAAUUCUUCUUUCAUGCAAAAGAUACACUCCUGUCCUCGCUUAAAAACUCUUAGACUACACAUCUUCCAUCACGCCCGCAUAUACUCAAUACCUAACAUACUAAGAGUUAAUCUAAAAGAUAGUAAUUCAUGUCAUUGUUGAUGUUUUUUACUUGAUUAAUGACAUGAAUUUUUAAAGACUAGAAAGAAGAUAUGCCUCACACCCCAGAAAAUGUGGUUAGUGUAAAACAAGUGAAAAAUUCUAGCGAGUACAAGCAAUGUGCCUUGGUGCUGGAGGAUCCAACUUUUCCCGAGUGUGGGAGGUGGAUUCCAGCAAUCAUAGCCUAAAAGCAACCCUUCACUUCUGUGCUGGUGCCAAAAUCUAAAUGUCGGAAAGUUCCAAGAUUAUGUGCUGAUUUGCCUUGUAUCUAAAGGAAUUAUCAUGCCAAAUCGAUCCCCCCACGUAGGAGAAUGUGGCUUUGUGCCAAGAAAAAACGGAAGGCUUUGAUAGACCACUAUGUAAGUCGCCCAUCAAAAGAAAUGACCUCCAAUGGAGAUCAAGACUAGACUAUUGGAAUAGAGAAGAGCCAAUUAUAAUUGUCUUUUAAGCAGAUGAUUACAUUAGUCUUAUUAAAUACAUCAUAAACAUUAUAUAAGCAAAAGCAAUAUUUAUUUUAUUUUAUUUCAUUUUUAAGAAAUAUGAUAUAUGCAGUUAAUAUAUAUAUGCAGAUAUGCACCAAUAGACUAUAGUUUCCAUCGAAUAUUCAAAUGAGUUAUUUCUUAUGAUGCAUCUAUACAUAUUAUUAUACCUAAAAAUUCUGUUGCGGGUGUGGAAUUUUACUGUUGCUCCUCAACAUUUCAUCGCACAUUAAGCAAAAAGAAAUAACACAGUUUCUUGUAUCAACCUGAUAGUUUUCCCACUUCUUUAUUUAGAUACUUUUAAAAUCUACAAGAACCUUAAAGGUUGCACCAGUAUCUACCUAAAUUCAAAUUACAUAAGCAAGGCAAUAACCUUGCUUCCUUAUAACCUGCCGAUCCUCCCAUGUACAAGUGAGAGUACUAGAUAGAUUGCCUUAGAGCUAGUUACGUAAUUACCAUGGCUCCAUAAGAUUUUGGAGCAUGAUAUGGUUAUAAUAACAACUAUGCCACAAAAUGAUUCAUUUAUAUUACUUUUUUGAUGCAUUAAAAAACUCCAAAAAAAAAAAGUUACAUAGAACCAAUGUAAUGGACAAGCCACUUUCCUUGGGUGGAAUUUGACAUCAAUUCUUGAAGACCUCAUUUUUUUUGCAUUAGAAAUUCUUUAAGAUCUCUUACUAGUAGAAGAAAUCCAUGGAGGACUAAUUGUGGCUAGUUAAUCAAUUUUAGGGUGGGUCUUCCAUAAUUAAAUAUUCUAUUAUUACAAGAAGAUCUUGGGUGGGGGGGGGGGGGGUGUAAGAUAUUCUUUAACUUUAAUGUGUCACACUUUUAACCCACUUUAUUGAUAUGCACUUUACAAAAGAACAGUUUUAUUUGUAAUCUGAAAUCUGGAUUGUAAAAUCUAACUUUAUAAACUUCACCAAUCUUCCAAUAUGAACCUGAAACCUUUACCUAGUUUUCGUGCGGAGGGGAAGGGUGACAACUAAUGAACUCAAGUAUUGUUGGCCUUGGAUUUGACCUUGUUCACGCUCAUCAUAAUUUUAAAAUUCUUAUGAAGCAUUAGAAGAAAAUCCUGUAUCCUCGAUUCACUUCAGAUGAUGACACCAAGGCAGGUUGUCCAAGUGUUUCCAUGCAGAAUUUCAAAUAUGAAGGCAUGCUUUCAGUCCCACAGCCUAUCUAUUAAUAUAUGCUUGGCACACGAGCAAUACUAGGUCGAACUUAAGAGAGAAUGUAUAUAUUAUUUUAAUCUUCACUUACAUAUAUCGUAUAGUCCUCUUUUCAUCAAUGUAUGGAUCUCUCAAGCUUAAUAUCUACGGGGUACAAUCCCUGGUCUCUUGUUUUUUUUUUUUUCAUUUGGUUUAAGGAUUACCAGUUCAUGACUGCACUUGUCCUUUCUUUGGAUUAAGGUGUCCUACUUGUCCUUCUACGACAAGUUUAUGGCACAAAAAUUCAACGCCCAUGGCACUUCUUCCACUAUUAAACACCAUCUCAACUUGAGACUAUAAACUAGUUAACGUAGGGGGCCAAGUAUGCAGCCUGCUUCUUCUUUCAAACCAGUCUCCAAUCAUAACACGGCAGCUGGCAUCCUUGGUCAAAAUUAGCCAUUAUGUCAGUGCAAUUGGACAUGAGUCGGAGAGGCUGACCGAGAAUUUGGGUCGACCCAAUCUAACGACUUUGUUCCCCUGGUUGGAGUCUCCACUUUCGAUAUGUAUAUUUUUUCAAACAGACACAAGCCAUUAAUUUCAUGCCGCUAUAUUGGACUCCUCGUGCUCCAUAGCUGCGAAAACAAGCCCACGGUCGCAGAAGGAAGGCGACAAGAACUAUCGAAGGGUGAGACUUAUCUCAAGAACUAUUGAAGCUAGGGUCCAUCAUCAAAAAAAAAAAAAACUAAUUGAAGGGGGAAGGUGUGAACCCUCUCCUUCUCUCCAUGGUAGCUUCGGCCAACCUUCCUGCAGUAAAAUUUCUCGCCUACAUCUCCCACCACUUGAUGGAUGUCUCGCGCGUGUUUGAUAGACUACAUUAUUAAAAGUGAAAGGAAGAAAGCAAUAAAAGAAAUAAGACCACCCCCACGUUUUUCUGACCAUAAGACCAUGCAUGCAGUGGUCGCUCGUACACGCACGGAUCGCCACCAGUUUAUCUUUGGAUGCGUAGAGAUGCCAGUGUCUCUACAGGAACCAGCCAUUUGGCCUUCCCCUAAGCUUAUUCCUAUUAGUGUAUCUCAUGGCGGAUUUUCUUGAUUAAAGAAAGGUACCCUAUGGCAGAUUAUCCUGCUGGGAUGCUCCUUGGAAGAGCAAUUGAUGAGUACUAGGUAAUAAAAUCUCUUCCUGCCAUAGAUGAAUAAAGUUCUUUUCCUAACAAAUGAUGGGAGGGUGCAGUGCCUUUUAGAUAGUGCAUGUUUACCAAGAAGCGAACCGAGCCGCAGACUGAAUUGCUACCUAUGCGGCUCAGCAUGUUGGAAAAGUUCUCUGGACUCAUCAGGGGGUCCCUCUUGCACUGCUGUGCCAGAUUCUUAUUCUUGAUUCAGUUGGCUGCACUUACACUAGAGUAGGGUGAAUAACCAUUGUACCAAAAAGAAAAAGCAAUUGAUGAAUACUAGAUAAUGAAAUCUCUUCCUGAUGUAGAUGAAUUAAUUUUCUUUUCUUGGUCUCAAAAUAUUAGUUAAAUAAUAAGCUCUGGUUUAUUGGUAAGUGGAAUAGGAUAUCAAUUAAUGAGGUGGAUUCGAUGCAGUUAACAAAAAAUCGAAAUCGGACCCGAAAUCUACCAUCGCUUGUUGAAACCAAAACCAUUUUUGUAUUCAUUUUUGUAUUCAUUUCGUAAUUUUUACAUAUAAAUAAUCAAAUUAAAAAGCACCAUCUAUAAUUUUUAUAAUAUCAUUCAUAUCAAUUUAAUGGAUAAAUAUAUCCAAAACUAAUAACAUUGCCGCUAAACAAACUCAGUUAAUAAUAUAACCAUCAACUUUAUUCAAAGUCUAUAAUUUUAUUAAUAUCAAGAAAAGUUUUAUAGAUUACCUCAUCAACAUAAAAGUCAUUUUCACUAUUAUCUUAUGGAGUUCCUAAUUUAGAUUUAUACUAAAUACAAGAGGCAUUAAGAAUGUUACUUAUGCAGUAUGUUCAGUAAUAGGUUCGGUAUCAAGUUUAGUGCCGGAUUAAGUUUUGGGUUAGAGAAUUCAUCGGAAUCGAAACUGAAGCCAAAAUCGAAUAAUUUUUUUAAUUUUUAAAACCAUUAUUUGAACCAUCCCCAUUUAAUUUGAAUUAAAACUACUUCAUUCGGUUCAAAGCCAAAUAAAAUAUUUAGAUACCCAUUCAUGUUGACAUCCCUAAAGUGGAACAAUCCAUGCCUAUUAAGGAUGGGAUAUAUUUUAACAUCAUUUGUAAUAAUUUAGGUCCUCACUCAAAAUAAAUAAUCAAAAGAUAUUAUUUAAAAUUUUUGAUUCUAUAUAAAUACGCAAGAUAUCCCUAGCAUAAUCGGUAUCGAACUAAACAUACACUCGUAUGAGUCCUCGUAGCAAAAUGCCUCUUUAAUAACAAAAUGGAUAGAGCAGGUAGGGCCAUGGAGAAAAUAAAAAGAAGAAAACAAAGGGAGAAGCCAAAACAAGGUGAAAAUAUCGGCUUGAAAAUGGAUACAUGGAUCUCUAUGAAAGAAUUGUUCUAGCUCACUCUCUCUCAAAGCCACCUCCAACCUGAACCCCCCACCCCAACACACACAAAGACACAAAGAGGCAAAAAUAUAUGUCCGUUUCUAACUUUAUUCAUCUUAGGUUCAGGGAACACUUGCCUACAUCAAGUUUUAUACACUUAUACCCCCUCUCUUUUGUGUAACUUUUAAAUUACUUAGUAAAUCUAACUUCUAAGUGCUUAUAGAACCUUUGUUUGUUUUUUUAGAUACUCUUUACAUUGGCUAACACAAAAAAUCAAAAUGUAUAUCCUAUUUUAGUUGUAUCAGAAACAUGUUCCCCUUCGUAGUUUGAUAAGAAAGGUGCAGAAUGAAUUCGUUACAAUUAUGCUAUUCUUUUACCCUUGUAGUAAUCAUAUGAUUUUGGACCUUAAAGUUCCAUUGACACACACCUAAAGUUAUCACGAUGUCGACUCAAAAUUAGAUGGAGUCUAAAUCAGAUUCCCAUGCACUUAAACUUAUAUUUCUAUGCAAACUUGACCUAAUCUAACCACGAGAUCCCACCAAGUUAUAAUGAUAGUUGCACCUCGCUGUUAAGAUCGAUAUGCUCUAUAUUCAAAGUUUGACUUGAACUUCGUUAGGAUGCAGCUUGAUCAGCAUUUACCAAUAGGCUGCAAGAGAUGUUUUUGACUGAUUUAAAUAGUAGAUGAUGUCACUGGAUGCAUAUAUAUCAUCUCGUUCUAAGGCUGAAUCCUUCUUCAUUAUAGGGUCCAGUGCUGAUUACAUUAUUGAAGACGUCCAAUUGAGUGCUUUGAUUAAUUGGAUGGCCCUACGCAACUGGGAGGCACCCCAAUUCUUAAUAGUGAUGGACGCUGUCAAGUAUACAUCCGGACUUGGUCUAUCGCCUAGACUAGCGAGCGGGACAUAGUCAUGGCCUUGGAGAGGGCCGGGGGAGGGCUUUACCUAAGCCAGCGUCAAUAAAUAAUUAGCACUACUCCUUUGUUAAAAAAUAUCAGGGGAGAGCACACUCAUUUGGAGGGCCCCUCCUUCCAGGAAGUUGCUGCAACUUUGAAUGAAUUAGAGCACGUUGUCUACUGGGUUCAGCGCAAGGAUAAAUAGCGUAGGGGCUUCCUCUGCUCUUCUCAAGAGCCCAGGGAUUAGAGGAAGAAAGAAGAGCGAAGAGUUGAGCUGAGUUGAUACCAAGAUGGGGAGAGCUCCCUGCUGUGAAAAGAUGGGUCUGAAGAAGGGGCCAUGGACUCCAGAAGAAGACCAGAUACUGACUGCUCAUAUCCGGAGAUAUGGCCAUGGGAAUUGGCGCGCGCUGCCGAAACAAGCUGGUAAGUACGAAUUCACUGACGAGUUCUCGUUAUAACCUUUGAAGAACUUCUGAUUGGUUUUAUAUAUCUACGCAUUGAAGAAUGUGAAGAGAUCGGCUUUCAUGAAGAGACAAGGAGGUUUUUAAUUCAAAAAGUGAUACUUUGCGAAUAUUUUUCUACGGCUAUCUUUAGUUUUCUUUUUUUCAUGAAUCAUGGGAAAUGACUUUGCUCCACCAAAAAAGAAAAUAUUUGAAAAUUCUUACCAUUGUAAAAUAACAAUGGAAGCGUUUUAAGGCCUUGAUGGCUUGAUGAAAGAGAGGUAGUAUCAUAAAAUCCAUAGUUUUUUUUUUUUUGUAGCAAAAGUUCCGUAAAGUGAGUUGGUCUUUGAAAAACUUUAAUCAAUUCAGGUACUUCGCAGUCAUGAAUGUUUUGAGCUUUGAUUAGAGAUGAAUGAGGUCUCACCACUCUUUACAUUUAUCUAAAAUUUUAUUUCUUUAGGUCUGUUGAGAUGUGGGAAGAGUUGUAGGCUUCGCUGGAUUAACUACCUGCGACCGGAUAUCAAACGAGGGAACUUCACAAAGGAGGAAGAGGAAACCAUCAUCCACUUGCAUGAGAAACUUGGGAACAGGUACAGUUCAACACAAAAUACGGCUCUCCUAUCUUUUUUCCAGCGUAGUAUACCGUUUCCUAAAAAAAAAACACAGAGAGAAAGAGACAAAAGGGCAUAAACAGCCACAAGAUUUUGACUGGAAAUAUUUCAAAAGAAAUAGGAGAAGAUGCUUCUUAAUUUUUUUGUAUUUAUUCUCUUAGCUUGCUAAUGACCUCGGUUAAUAAAAAAGAAAGUUUGGAGAGUCUCAAAGAUUCCUUUCGUUUUGGCUUUGGCUACCACCACUACAUGGACCUUUACAUGCCUACAGGACCACAAGCAUUAAGUUGUCAACACCUUGAAACCAUCCAUACAUGGAUGAAUGCGCUGUUUAUCAUAUUAGAGUUGCUUUCAGACACUACAGAUUUCCUCACACUAUAACAAGAUGAACCUAUAAACAAAGCAUUGGUAAACCUGUAGUUUUGUUUAGUCAGUCAAAUCAAACAAGAAAAUAAGAAAUUUGUAUUUAUCUUUCGACAUGCAAGUGUGUUGUACAAUUCUUGUUGCAUAAAAAAAAAAUGGUCUCUUAAUACAAUUCUUUUCAUGUUUUCGAUAGAUGGUCUGCGAUUGCUGCGAAGCUGCCAGGGCGGACGGAUAAUGAAAUCAAGAAUGUGUGGCACACACACUUGAAGAAGAGAGUAAACCCGAACCAGGUGGCGCAAGAAUCAAAGAAAAAGACCCAAGUUGAUGCCAUGAUUGAGAAGGAGUCCAAACAUACGCCUACACAACUCAAUUCAGGCUUAACGCACCCAAGAUUUGAUGAUCCAAGACUUCCGCCAGUAUCCCCAGAACGAUCAUAUAGUGACAUCUCAUGCACUGCUACUGAUUCAUCUACAAUAUCGCGAGAAAAUACUUGCAAUGUGAGUGUCAAAGAAGAGAGCUUUUCUUCAGAAGAAUUCCCGGUGAUCGAUGAGAGCUUCUGGUCAGAGACAUUAUCCAUGGAUUUCACAGCAUUAGAAGGUCCAACAUUUGGUCCACUAGGGGAGCCCUUUGGCUCAUUUGGGGCAUCCAAUGAUGAUGACAUGGACUUUUGGCUAAGGGUGUUCAUGGAAGCUGGUGAUUUGCAGGCUUUGCCACCAAUUUAACCACUGGAAGGGACAUGCGAUAGAUUCCAUUUUGAUGUGAAUGAGGAAAUUGACUUUAGAUAAAUUUUUUCCUAUAAAUUUUUCAGUGGUGGGUGAAUUCGUUAACUCUACAUCAAUCAAGAAAGAGUCAUAGGUGAACUGGGCGAGUUUGAAAAUUUAACCGUUUUUGAUCCUUUCUUCCAUGUAUAGAAACAGAUAUUGCCGUGUGGAUUUUUCAAACAGCAAAAAUUUGUAAUUUGGAUAUUUUCCUAAUAGAAACGAUUUUUAUUUACACACCUCCAAACCUCUUCUAUGACAUCCUGAUACUUUUGUUAAGUUGUCAUUCCAUUUCUAAUUAAUGUUCCUAAAGCAAGCACGACAAGGUAAAAAUCAAUCUAUAUGGUUCUUGUGCUCUUCCAUAUAUAACCAAAUAAAGUGCUAUAUAUAUAUAUAUCAAUGUCAGUACUGUAGCAUUUUCCUUUCACCUCGAACUUGGAGUUGUGCAUCUUGCCAUGGUCUGCUUAUAAAGCUCCUGAUCAAAAUUUGGACAGAGCAAUAAUAAAAAUAAUAAAUGCCCUAUAUUCUAGGGACUCUAAGCCCCAGUUAGCUGGUUCGAUGCCUUUGGCUUUUCAAGCAUGAUAAGAAAUGGUGAAUUGGAUUUCAUCCAAGAAAAAAGAAAGAAAGAAAGAAAGGAAUGAUGAAUUGUUCCUUACUUUGCUAGACAAGUAAUUAAUCUUAUUUUGUGCCAAAAAAAAAAAAACUAUAUGGAAUUUUAAGUGUAGAGCAUUUAGCACCAAAUUCAACGCUCACUACUUAUAACAUACCAUUUGUAACAACCAAGGUAUUUUUUUGGGUUUAUGGUUACACUCGAUGAACCCGUAUUAUAGUGUUCCCUAGUCCAUAUAGGCUAUGGGCCGAAUUCGCUCUGAUAUCAUUUAUAACAACUCAGGACCUCAUCCAAAAUAGCUAAAUGAAAGGUACUAUUUAGGUUUCUUGAUCUUAUAUAAGUAUCCAAAACCUAACGAAUAACCGAUGUGGGACUAAACACAUGCUCGCACAUGCCUUUAGAAUAAAACUAGAAAUGGAAUUCUAAAUUCAUUAAAACUAAUGACCAACUAAACAAGAAUUCUAUUAGAAUUAGGACUUAGCAAUGAAUCUCAACAAAUAUGUCACCUAAGUCUUAUCAUAGUUCAGUGGUAAGCACACGUGUGGAAGAUCGGGUAAACAAACAACAUCGUGUUGUGGUCAACUUAGGAUUUUUGCUAUAGCUUACAAAUAUUUCUGAUAUUUGUAGCAGGUAAAUAUAUCAUGGUCCAUGGUUAAAAAAAUAUUUUUUUGUGAAAAUUAGCAAAUAUUAAUUUGUAGAACCAUGUAUAUGUACCUUCCACUGCUUCAAACUUGAGGUAUAAUAUUAUUUAAAAUCUCAAAUUAAUCAUAUAUUUUCAACUCGAAAUGCCAUAUAUCAGAAAAAAUCUGAUAAGAUUUUCUCUCUAGCUUACAUCACCUUUUGCACGGUGUCUUCUAACAGAACUUAUGCCAUCAGGCAAUUCAAAUUGACCAAUUCCAGUUAAGAUUAUAUUAUUGUGAACCAAAUCCUAUGUGAUAAGUAUCAAACAAGUCAUGCACAGGCAGCACAGCUUCAAUUUGGAAGAUAAGAAGUAACCUUGAAUAAAGUUUGUGGGCAGAUUAAAAUUCCCUCAUGUCUUUGCACAAAUUUCUUCUUUCAACUCUUUCAGGAAAUCAAAACCCUAGUCAUGGCUGGCUCCGUCCACGAGGGGGAAGGCUACCCUAACUUGUGUACAAAAGGAUAACUUAAUAAACUUCCUAAGAAAUUAUCAAGUGUAACUCAAGGCUUUGGAAUUCCAAAGUAAAAAUCCUUUGCAAAAUAAUGCUAGCUUCGCCCAUGCGGAAGGCAAAAUAUUGUAGUUUUUCCAUAAGCUGAUGGGAAUGGAAAUCCUGAUUUGAAAAGUUUAAUCAUUGUCCCUUGAUGUGGUUAACUUGACAAACAACCAGAUGAAUUAUAUAUUUAUUGACUAGUAGUACGAUUAAUGAUUCACAACUUCUCUUAUUAUGGAUGUAAAUAAAGAAUUAGUCAUAUAAGCUAUAUACCUUAUAACUGGAAAACUGAAACUUGGUCACAGAGACGUGAAGUUAUGAACAUUCUCGAAUAUAAAUGAAGAGCAGAAACAUAUUAUCAUUUAAACCAGUAUCCAUUCUUACCAUACGCACAUGCACAAGCAUCCAUGUACGUAGUACACAUGCAUGCAUGCAGAUACACAACAAUAACAGGCACUAGUAUUUAGAGUUGUUCCAAGCCUUCCACCCUCACAAGUUUUUAUCUUUUAAAAUUUCUCUUCAGGAGGUCUUUAUUGAUGGUAUCCUUGUCUUAUCAUAUCGACUUGAAGCAUGACAAGGCAGCGGUUAAACCCAUCUAGAGACAAAGACCUCUUGGAGUUGGUAUCAGAUGUAAUUUAAUUAUAAACUAGGAUCAAGCUGCCUUUUUUAAAUAGGCAAGACUUCGUGUCCUUAUACAUUGUUAGUUUAUGAUGGGCACGCCGAUAGGGUUAUCUUUCGACAAGAACUUUUUUUAUUAUAAAAUAGAGUGUAAGAGAAAAAUUGGCCUGAUUUUGAAUAUUUUAGCCUUUUAAUUUAAAAAUAUUAUCAGACUUGAUAUCGACCACUUGGACCAUUGUGGAUAGAAUAAAGAUAGGAUCCAAAAAUGAAAUCCACCAUAUUGAACAAGCAAAUCAUAAACCAAAUUUUUAAAGGCUAUAUUUUAAUUGUAAGACAAUUGAUUGAGAUUAUAUUUUUUCAAAUCAGAUAACUUUUUGAGAUUUACGGCAUAGUGCCGCUUCCUAAAAGAAGUUGCACAGGGAUCAUAUCCAAAUUUUAUUAUUUGGAUCCCAAAACGGGUCAGUUAAACUAGUUUUUUUGUGGAAAAAACUUGUUGAUAUAGAAGUUGAGAUCUAUAAACAACAUCUAUUUUUGCUCAUGUAGGAUUUUAGCUUUUUCAUGCUUAUUUCUACAAACAUCUAUUUUUGAAAAACUAAUUCUAUUUAAAUUAGAAGAGAAAUCCAACGCUAAUUAUACAAAGUGGAUCUUACUAUUAUAAAUAGAGACUGUAUUCCUUAGUUUUCGAAUCAUCAAUAAUAGAAAAGAAGACCUACAUCCUACUUUUAUCAACUUUCCACUAUUCUUUAAAUUUCUAUUGAAAUAUUCGAGUUGAGUAGGAUGAAGAAAAUUUUCCUUCUCCUCAAUAGGAACUUUUUUAGAUAAAGAUAAUUCAAAAUUUAAAGACGUACACCGGCAGAUAAUCAUCCAAAAGUUUUUUUUUUUCUUUUAGGGUUCAUAUGGGGAAGAAAGUAUGGCAAAACCAUCCUUCUUUUACUUGAGAAUUAUACCAUCAUUUCUUUUGAAUAGAAUGACAUAUGGUUAUACCAUGCAUUUGAAACAUGUCAAUUCUCCACCUUAAUGUGGGUGAGCUAUGGAGUUUUUGUUCUAGGACCGUCUAACAAUAUCCUACUACAACACAAGCAAAUAAUUUCUCAUGCAAAUGUGACAAUGAGUGAGAUUUUCUUAUUUUUGCUAAGUAUACAGACUCGGAGAAUUAGGAUACAAGAUUUUGUUUUCCUGACUCAUUGAGCUCAAGACUUUUCAUGAUCUAAUUGUUAAGAGUUGUAUGGAAAUGUAAUAUCUUACAUCCAAAUANNNNNNNNNNNNNNNNNNNNNNNNNNNNNNNNNNNNNNNNNNNNNNNNNNNNNNNNNNNNNAUAUAUAUAUAUAUAUAUAUAUAUAUAUAUAUAUAUAUAGAGUACAAAGCAACAUGAUCCCAUGAUUGAUAGGAAUGUACAUGGCAUGCUACAUCAGCAUGAUCCCAUGAUUAAUGGAAAUAUAUAGUAUGCCAGCAUCUCAUAAGUGUGAUGAGUUUAUGCGAUAUGUGAUCUUAAAUGAUUCCAUGAUUGACAAGACUGACAUGGUAUGUGAUCCCAUAAGGUUGACUAGAUGACCACUGUAUGUGAUACCACAAAUAUUUACACAAUUAAUGGGAUUAGGUGACAUAUAUGAUGACAUCUAUUUUAAGUAGUCAUGAUUUUAACAAUUCUUCCCCUCAAGUUGGAGCUUGCAAAUCAAGAAUGCCCAAGCUGUCCUUUAAUUACAAUUGAAAAUGAGCUGUACUCAAACAUUUGGUGAAGAUGUCGGCCAACUGAUGAGAGGUGAAAAUAAUUAUACAACAUAGUCAUCUAUAACUUUUUCCAAAUGACAUUCAAAGAUUUGGCAAAGAUAAAUAUAGAGUACAAAGCAACUUGUUCGAUAAUAUUGAUGGGAAUGUAUAUGGUAUGCCCCCAUCCUACAAGAUUGAUGGUCCAUAUAUGAUAUGUGACCUUAUAAUUAAGAUUCCAUGAUUGAUGUGAUCUCUAUGAUAUGUGAUCCCACAAGAUUGACUAGAUAUCUAUGGCAUGAUCCUACACAUGUUUAUAUAAUUAGUGGGAUUGAUUACAGAUAUAGCAUCUAUUCUAAUUCAUCAUGAUUUUUCUAAUACCAAUCUUGUGUGACCUUCUGGACUUGAACUCGUCAUUACUCGAGUGCUCAUACUAAAAGAGAGAGCCCAAUUUUUCCAAUAAUUACUUUCAACUACAAAAUAUGUAUGUGUAUGUAAACUAUAAUUCAUUGGCUUUGUACUCCUAAUCGGUGACCAACUCACCUCCAUUUUAAUUAGAGGGCAAAAUGGUACGUGUAGAGGUGCAACAAAAGGUCAGCGACUAUAGAGUAUAGCGGGAAAAAAUAAAAGGCAGAACGUUUCCACGUUCUUACACGAUAUAGAAGAACACUUAGUUGAGGCAUCAGCUUUCCUUUCUUGUCUACAACCGGACUUCAUUAAAAUUAUAGUUAUAAUAUUCUCCAAAGCACUGAAGGAACUCCAAUUAUUGAUAUACUUAAGUGGAUCUUUUUUCCCUAGAAUAUAUUUACGUGGAUAUUUAUUCUCUGAAUCAUUUUCAGUUCAUGCUUCUCAUUCACUACUAGUCGUUAUUACUUUCUAUACAUGACCAACAUAUAGAUAUAUUGUUCUAGCUUUCCUUUUCAAUCGCUUUAUCUGCUCAAAUCUUCCCAAACUUCUUGCAGUUUCUCGUUUUUAAUUUCCAUGGAAGAAGAGCUUAACUUAAGCAUGCGGCAUUGCUCCUUCUACGGGCUCUAUCUUGAAUUCUUGCGAUCAGCCACUUGAUUAAAAUAAUCACAGCAGCUUAAAAAUGCGACAAUUACCAAUGCCAUAUAAAUUCUGGGAGCUCAUCUGCUAAGGACUUUUCUUACAAGAAUCUUUCUGAGGAUGACCUAGUUUUAUGAUGAACUGCAUCGAUCACCAUCAAGUUCAACCUCAUUGUCCCUUUUUCUUCUUUUUUUUUUUCUGAUUAAAAUGACGUAACAACAACCAUCGACCUCAUUGUCAAAAAUGAUGUUCUUUGUUUUUUUUGGGGAGAAAAUCAAACAAGCUAGUUCAGUGGAUCCCUCUAUGUUUCAACUAUAGAUGUCUCUGUAUCUUAGCUGUAUAUAUUGCUUCAAAAUAGAUGUCUUUUUGUCUUGGGUGCGUCCGGGCUGUGUGUAAUGGUUGAAACAUCUAUAUCUGAACAAUCUUAAACAGCCAAGACACAGGCUGGAUGCCGGCGAAGCGUGUCUACAGAAUCCAUUCCGUCUGCCGACAAAAUGGAAUCCAUUCCUAAAGACGCGUGGGUGGUCAUAUCAUAUACAGCAGAAAUGGAGAAGUUGGAUACCAAACCCAGCCGCAAGUUGACGAGAAGGCAAGGCGACAAUUCGGAGAGACCUGGGCCAAGAAAAAAUUAUUGAUUUGAUACAGUUCCGGAUAAGUAGAUUGCAGCAAUUUUCUCCCCGAGUUGCUUGGUUUUUUGACUUGCUACCCUGUCCGCAUGGAUCGAGAUUACAUAAUAUUCAGCAUCACUUGGCUGAGUAGCUAAAGAUUAGAUAUCGACAGCUAGGUCGAGAAAAUAAAAUGGCGUACAGAAUCUUUCUUNNNNNNNNNNNNNNNNNNNNNNNNNNNNNNNNNNNNNNNNNNNNNNNNNNNNNNNNNNNNNNNNNNNNNNNNNNNNNNNNNNNNNNNNNNNNNNNNNNNNNNNNNNNNNNNNNNNNNNNNNNNNNNNNNNNNNNNNNNNNNNNNNNNNNNNNNNNNNNNNNNNNNNNNNNNNNNNNNNNNNNNNNNNNNNNNNNNNNNNNNNNNNNNNNNNNNNNNNNNNNNNNNNNNNNNNNNNNNNNNNNNNNNNNNNNNNNNNNNNNNNNNNNNNNNNNNNNNNNNNNNNNNNNNNNNNNNNNNNNNNNNNNNNNNNNNNNNNNNNNNNNNNNNNNNNNNNNNNNNNNNGAGUAUAGUUUUUAUUUCAGUACAUGUUCAUAUAAUUGGCCGGUUCGUCGCAUGCGAUUUGCUGCUCAUUCUAUAAUACAGUGUGUAACAUCACAAGUCUCACAAAUCUGAUGGUCCUUAUCCGUGUUCGUAAUAUCAAAAAGCAAGGAACAAGGAAACGAUCUAGAUCAGUGGGCAUUGCGAUCACAAUAUGUGAUCAACGGGGAGAUUAAGACGUGAAAUGAAAUCCCAGAAUUCUCUCAAUCACAACUACCUUGUGUUUGAAACUAAUCCUGCCUUAAGUCGGAAUCAUACUAGAAUUUUAUUUCUUUUGGACAUUAAAUUUCCUUCUCGUUCGCAUGUUCGACAUCGAGAAGAGCAAUAUGACCAAACCGGUUUUCAUGAGCAAAAAUGACCAGCAAACAACAAAACGAAAGAUUCAUACCCAACGCAGCAACAUCUGCAACAUUUUCCAUGAAUAAAUAGUACAUAUCCGGAUUUAAGUUACCGUCUCCGCAUAAACCACAGCAUAAUAAGACGAGAGCACUGCAAUUAGAGAUAAUGAGGCCUACUGUAAGAGCAAAAAGAAAGGAAAUACCAAAUAGAUCAAGAGAGGCAACAUCUGCAACAAUUGUUUCUGCAGAACCAAAGUUUAUUUAUUCAAAAUCUGGAGUUACUUCUCAGUAUGCAGUAACCAUAGGGCCUCUUAACCCCACUCCAGGCGUAGAUAACGAAGGAGACAGUUCAAGAGAGGCAUGAAUAUGCCAAUGCCUUCUCCUCCGUCAACUCCACAGCAGUCGCAUCCAUUUUCUUCCUCGAGAACUCAUCAAUUGGAAGCCCUGAUAGCAUCAUAGGCAGAGAUAUUAAUGAUCAAUCACUUUUCUCCUUUACUUUGUACUACAUAUCAGUUGAUUAUUCAGAAAGUUUUAUGGCAUAAAACUGUGCAAAACAAGAUGAGUAAUUCUAUUACCAGAAUAUGAUACUAAGCUAGAUAAACUACAUGGAGAAGCAGCUUGAUUCUUGGAAAUACUUCAAUACGAUGGAUAAAUUCUUGAAAAUACUUCAAUAUGAAGGAUGAUAUUAUUUAGGAAGAUUCUAUUCAGCCAAUCUGCAGAAUGCAGAUGAUACCAAAAUUAUGUGUGAACACACUGGAUUCCAAACAUAAGCCUGCACCAUAAUGCAUUGGUUAUAAAACUAAUGCCACUUCAUAGGCUGAUUGACCGUUUCUACAAAGUGCAACAACAUCCAAUUACAAAGUGGGUUUUCAUCUCAGGAUAGUCAGCCUGAGAUAUAGUUUGGAUCAGUAUCAGAUAGUCACUGAUAUAUCGGCCGAUAUGAUAUCAAAAUAUUGGCUAAGGUUUCCUGGCAUGCCUUUUAGAAUCUUUAAAUUAAUAUUUUAUUAUUACAUCUUCAAAUCACUGUCUUAAUAAGGAAAUUGGUGCAGGUCUACUAGAUUAAUCAGGGCCUUUGAGAUCUCAGUUCCUAUAAUAACGGUCGAGAUAUCAGAAUUCUUUCCUUUCUUCAUUUUUCUGAAUUUCCUAUCUUUGUGGAGAUAAACCAAUAUCUUGUCCAUCGCAAUAUCGGAAACCUUCUGGGAUGACUAAGAUCUAGGUAGUUAAAAAAUCCUGAUCAAAUCACCAAAAAUAACAUCCAUUAUUUGGUCAUGAUUGUUGCAAUACAGAGUUGCAGUCUUUAUUUUACGACUGUGCAACUCAGUUUGAGUUCACCUUUUCAGCCCAUGUGAGAUAAUGUGGGAAGGACAAGAUUCCCUUAAAUUACAAAACCGAACGAUGUUUUUGCUAUAGACAAAAUCAACCAGGAGAUCAACCCAAUAAGAAAUAAAACAAGUCUCUAGAUAUCAACAGUUAUGGACUGUACGUCGAAUGGCUCAAGUCAAUCCUGAAUAACAUGGCCAUUCAUGUAAUCAAGUCUGGCAAGCAAAGUUCACAGUGCUAACGUGUACCAUCCUGUACUAGAAAACACUGUACCAUAUUGGUACCAACUGAUGCUUGAUAUGAGGGGUAUACCAAGUGCCACUAUGCCGAAUUGCCCUUGGCACCAAGGGUUCUGACAUUGCACCAAGAUGGCACAGCUAUGGGAUCUAGUACCAAGAUUGUGAACUUCACUUGCAAGUCCGUUGGGUUUCCACAAUGGGAUCAUUUGGGAUAAAAAAUCACAGAAGAUUUAUGAAUCGACCAUCUACAAUUUGGAAGGAACGAAAAGAUGAGUUCAAAACAGUGGAUAUUUUACAACCGAGGAUUUGCCAAGAAACCAUAUAAUCCAAUUCGUUUCCCAAAAAAAUUAUGAAAAUCAAGUGAACCAAAAAUAGGAGGAAUAUAAAUCAGCACUAGUUAAUUAAGCUCAGCUUAAUGUCACUGGAAGUGUAGUUUUAGUAGAAAUAGAGAUAAAGAUGGGACGCCACUUAAGUUUGAUGGAUAUGGGAUCCCAUGAAACAAUCAGUUUCGUUAUCAGAAUUUAUUAAACAAAAUAAUGGAAAAAGAUGAAAGCAUAUGUGACAAAUCUAUAGCUGGUUGGAUGGAGGGGAGAAGUUCUUGAGGGCUAUUAUGUAAUUAAGACACAACUAAGGAAAAAAUUAGAAUGACAAUAAGACCUUGCAAUAUCAUAUGGUCUAGAAUAUUGGGUAAUAAAGAGGCUCCAGAAAACAAGUUAAAUGUAGCAAAUAUGAGGACAUACGCAAGUGAGAGAAUUUACAAAAACAGAGGAAUGAGUAUCCUCAAAGAGUUGUAUGAGUUAUCCAAAUAGGAAAUUAAGUGAUGGAGAAUUGGUUAUGAUGGUAUGGGCAAGUGUAAGAUAAGCUGAGGGGCUCUGUUAUUUGUCAAAAGAUAUAAUAAAUAGAAGGGAAGACCUGAGGUAACACAAAGUUGUGAGAGGGGAUAUAGAAAAGCUUGAUAAGAGGUAGCCAUAAGUAGGAAUGCUGGGUGAACAAGGAUUCUAAAAGCUGAACCCAUAAGUAAAAAUUCUGGGUGAACAAUGAUCCUAAAAGCUGAACCCAAAACAUCAGGACAUAGGUUAGUCAUGGUUGCGAGCAUUCCAGGUGAGUGCUGCUGCAGGUAAAACAUUUUCAACAUAUGGUACUUCAAAUUAUAGAUAGAUUCAUCGGGCAUCUCAAAUGGGGAAAAGAAUGAUGAUUUGUAGACAAACAUUUUCAAGGAGAUACAGAAGUGAUGUAUGGACCCCAAUAUGACUUGUCAAGAAAUGCAAGAAGGCUAAGUCUUUGGUAGAGAGGGAGAGUAGGAAUAGGAAUAGUAUUAUAUAUGAGAGGAACUAUUCGGGCAUGUGUUUAUUCCCACAUGUGGGUGUCCAUUGGGUAAGUCUUCGGUACUUAAGUAGGGCCAAGGACCCAAACCAAUAAACUUCUAGCUAGCCUUUUUGGAUGAGGUUGUGGGCUGUCAUAAAUGCUUUCAGAACUAACCCAGGCCACAGUGCUUUUGAACUAAUCAUAAACCAGUUGGGUUGUUUAUAAUUGGACCCUUCCCUUGAUGAGCCUGCUUUAGAUUAAAUGGGGAGAGUGUGGACCAAUGCAUGCAUUUAGUCCCACAUUUAGCGUGCGUUGGGUAGUCAAGCAAGGCUAAUGACUCCAGUUAACAACUUCAAUCAGGCCUUUUUAGGUGAGCUCCUGGGUCAUUACAGCAUAUUAGUUAAGAGUUCUUCAAUUGGUCUUAAUUUCCUAAUAAAGUUGGUAGGUUCAACCUUUACCAUGAAGCCCAGUGUCUGCUAAGAGAAUUAGGUGGUUAGAUUCAGCAAAAGUAGGAAAGCAGAAAAUUGCGGGGUUUUAUUAAAGUGUAAGGUAAGAACAAAUCAUUAUCAUAUAUCCUUUUAUUCCCCUUCAGAGUCUGUGGUUUUUACUUUGUCAGGGAGUCUUUACCGUGCAGUGAUGUUACAUGGCAGUACACUUGAUCUCAAGUUCAUCUCUUUCUUUCAAGUGCAAGCAUGUCCAAAAUGUCAAGUACUACAAGUCUACAACCAUUAGGGGGCAAAUAAGGAAAACUUUUGCUUAAAGGAGUUAUUACAGGUUUAUAAGAUGAAGUUCAUGCAUAAAUGACUUCCAUGGCAAUGAACAUAACAAAUGUGAAUGACUAAAAUAUCAAAAAAUGACUAAUGAUAUUCCAAUAAAAUUACAAAUCACUAUGGCCACAAGUACCAAUAAAAAAUGAUUAAAAAAAAUAUUUAAGAAUAAGUAGAUCCAGAUUUCUCAUACAAAUAAUACGCAUACUCAUAAUGAAAUUUAACAAAAACUGUUGUUUAUAGUUUAAAGAAUAAAAAACAUUUUUCUCCUUAUUUUGCUAAAAUAUUUGUUCCUAAAAUUUGUAAGCUUUAUUUAUAAAUUGCUUGCAUGCACACUAACAUCUAACAAAUUCACUUUUAGGGAAUUUUAAUUAAUAGGAUAACAAUCAAACCCAUUUUUCAUAAUUUUAUAUAAUUAAUUUUGAAAUGUAUGGAAGGAAAGCAAAUUAAGUAAAUCACUAAAAUCAAGUUUCUCUUAAAUAUCUCGAAAUUGAAUACUAAGGUUUCUUUGCCUUUCAAAACAUUAAAAAAAAUCCAGAUUUGAUCUUGCUAGUUCAGUCUAUCACCUGUAAGCAAUAUCUUACUGCAAAUGUAAGAUAAUUAAAGCAAACACCCUUAAAUGAGACUCAAGGCUUUCUAUGUGUUGAAGUCAUCAAAAAACACUGAAACUAGUCAAUUCCAAAAUAUAUUAACUGAAGCCAAUAAAACCUCAAAACUUUAGACCUAUUCCAACUGAAAUAGCCCCCGCCAAAACCCAAAACAUACACCAAACAACUCCAGCCUCUCUUAGCUUCAAAUGGUCCUAGACAAAUCCUAUCUCACCUAUGCAACAACAAAAAUGUCAAGAAACACUGUCUUUAAGGGAAUCAUCAAUGCAAAGAGUGCCUUCAGCUUAAUUCAUCUUAUAAGGAGUAUUAUUUAUCAGAAUGACAUUGCACUACAGUCUGUGCACCUAUAUUUUCUCUGUGAAGUUGUGAACCAGAGAAAUUUAGGUACAGCAUUGUUGAAGGCAGCUACUACAAAAAAUAUUAUAAACUAUUGGUUACGGAUGCAUGACACAACUAGGGAGAAGUAGAAGCCCUACCAGGUUAGUGUAACAAGCUAUAACUAAGAAGAACUUCCACCAGAUUUGCACCUCUAACCACCUUUAAUAGUGAAAGACUAGCUUAGAAUAGACUUAAACUUUCCCAAGUAUUAAGCUCAAAUCCUGUUCAUCUUUUUGAUGUGAUAGGUUGAUCACACCUUCAAAAUCUGCAUGGCUUCUUCAUAGAUAUAAGAAGCAGCAUGACUUCGAACAAAGACUGUACCAGAUGAUACUUGGACUACUCUGUUAAUUUAUAAUACAAACUGGAUUUCAAAAAAAAUCAACAUAUUAUGGAUUUUGUAAAAAUUCAGCCUAGUCAAUAUAAGCAUACAAGAUUCUGAAGUUUCCCAAGCAACAUGCAUACCUUGAACAAUGGUCCACUCGCCAUUGCGACAUGUCACAGGAAAUGAAUAAAUAAGCCCAGCUGGUACAUUGUAUGAACCAUCAGAAUACACUCCCAUGGAAACCCAUGUUCCCUGAGACAGCGGAAGGAAAAUAUUUAGCGAACUUCACAACAAACAAGCCAACUGAAUCAGAUAAAAGACAGCUGAACAAUGGUCCACUCGCCAUUGCGACAUGUCACAGGAAAUGAAUAAAUAAGCCCAGCCGGUACAUUGUAUGAACCAUCAGAAUACACUCCCAUGGAAACCCAUGUUCAACAGAAUACAACCUCAGGUGUCCCAAGGACCCAAUCACGUAUGUGAUCACAAGCAGCACUAGCUGCAGAUAAUGCACUUGAGAGCUUCCUUGCUUUAAUGAUUGCAGCACCACGUUGUUGAACAGUUGUGAUAAAUUCUCCCUUCAGCCUAUAAUAAUCAGAUAGCAGCACACAUAUCAGUUUUUAGUUACAAAACCUUGAAUACUCGUGAUGGAUUUUAGGAACAUUGUAAGCAUAAAAGUAUGUCUCUGUGCACACUCUUACCAAUCAUCGGCGGCAACAAGUUCACGGGCAGGCUUUUCACCACCUGGUGUUUUUACAGUUGCAUGGUUCACAUCAGGGUACUGAGUGGAAGAAUGAUUUCCCCAAAUGAUUACAUUCUUAACAUCACUGACUUGAAUAUUUAAUCUCUCAGCAAUCUGGCCCAGUGCCCUGUUGUGAUCUAGUCGUGUCAAGCAAGUUAUAUUUUUCUCAGGGAUGGAUGGAGCAAACUCUUUCAAAAUCAGAGCAUUCGUAUUUGCAGGAUUAGCCACAACUAGCACCUGCAGGACAAAAUUGUAAACUUUGGAAAAAGACAGAAUCAUGCAGGUGCAUAUCAUAGAUAUAUAUAAAUAAGUAAUCCACACUGAAACAGCAAGAACUAUACAAGCUCUCUGAACUAAACUGUGCUGUGCUGCAAUUUUUAAAUAUUAUUAAACAUCCACACAUUUACAGAAAAGAGAUGAAUAAAUAGAUAGCAUGUGCAUCUGUGAUGUUUCACACCUUACAGUUUGCAGCUGCAUACUUUUCAAGGGCAGAGGCUUGAGAUUUAUAGAUUGAAACAUUUUUCGACAUCACAUCUUUCUUUCCAUUCCCUCUUUCCUUGGGAACCCACCAACCAUGACUGCAAUGUUGACACCAGUACAGGCCUCGACAGCAUCAGUUGUAGCAACAACUCCUGAAUAAUCAUUGGAGGCAUUUUGUAAGAGUAAGCAUCAGGAUUAGAAGGUUAAAAAUGAAGGAUGCUAGAUUAACUGUAUAUAGACCAAAACAGAAACAAUACCUUUAAGAAGAGGAAAUGCUGCAUCAAUCAAUUCCAUUUUAACCCCAUUAAGAGAUUCUGCAGCAGGCGGAAUAUCAAGCAUGUGCAAGAUAACAGGCUGAUCCAGACCUAGCAUUACUCCCCUAGCAAUCAUAGGUACCAGUGCAUAUCCAAUUUGCCCUGAAAACAUAACAUCACUCAAAAUGUUACAUUGCUGCUUUUUGAAUUGGGUUGAGAUCCUUCUCAAAAAAAGAAAGGACAAGUGUUGAAUCACCAAAGAUCAAGAAGAAAAUGAAAAUGUCCAAUAUGAUAAAACUGGGGGAAGGAGCAGGCAUCUAGAACCAAUUUUUUCCUAGAAAAGCAUAAUCUUACAACUGUUUUUGAUUAAGCAACAGAAGCUUCCUCUUUGAAGGAUUUUGUUUUUUUAAAAAUAUCAUAUUAAAACUUAUAAAAGGAGACUGCACAUGGCAGGAAACAGCAGAUAAUUUUCAUCAGCUGUAAUGUCUAUGCAGCAUAGCCAUCUUUUAUUGACUAUGGACGUGAAUCUCAACUAUUCAGAGGAGUAUGAUGGUCAUCAUUGAUUCAUUUUGGUUGCAAAAAGACCAGAUCAACAACGGGAGUAGACAUGAAACAGCAAGGAUGGUUUUGACACCAUAGUGAAGUAGUUGGCAGUCAUGGCAAUUUACAAGACUUCUAUAUGAUACCCAAAGGGACAAAAUUGAAAUUUUCAUGUUGCCAAUUUAAGGGCAAUUACUAAGAAAGAAAACCUAAACUUGGAAAGUUUGAUGAUUGAAUCUCAUAAUUGCAUAAUUAUUGAAUUUAAUAAUAUAGGCAGAAAAAGCGAUGUGAAUGUCAAAAAUAAGGAGGAGGAGGAAAUGGUUAAAAGUUCACCAAGAAUAUGAAGUGGUUCAGAACAGGUCCAUUAUUAAAAGAACUAAUCUAUAAAAUCUACACAAUAAACUCAUUACCUAAAAAGUCUGCUUGGAAAAUGGCUUUACGUGGAACUUAUUUGGGGUUGAGGAGGGAAAAAACUGAAAGAACUCUCAAGAGCUUGAUGAACCAACUAUAGGAACUGGUAGAAAUCGAGCAGACAUUCAUAUUGGAAAAGGGGAAAAAGGCAAGAAAAACUAUAACUUUGCAGUGAGAUAAAAGACACUAAUAAAAUACAUCUGUAUCCCAAAAAAAGAAAAACAAAAAAGUUGGGUCCCUAAACCAACCAACAAUAAUAAUGCCAAGAAAGUGCAUGUCCCAGGUAUCCAACUUUCCAGACUCCCGAGGAUAUAUGGCACAAAUGUUCAAAUUGGAUAAGUAGAUGUAAUAUCAAUUCCAAACAUAAGAAAUGAUUGAACUCCAAGACACAAUUGCAUUCGGUCAUCAUGAAUAUUCAAUUUGAUCAUUCAGAUUAACAGGUCAAGCCUUUCUUUGCUAACACUUUAAAAUAGUGCCCCCAACCCCAACCCUCACCUCCCUCUUCCUUGUGCUCAUGUCCCAUAUGAAGUAUCAUGUCGUCCUUGCAGUGUAUUAUGGCAAAGUAGUUAAAGUAGUUAAGGAUAUAUCUGAGACUUCCAGGGAAUGAAACAAAUACAAGAAUUCUAUAUUAGCAACUAUACCAGCCCACAACAUACCUAGAAAAAAAGUGUCAAACAAAGCAAUCUCGGACAUCAGAAAGGCAAGUGCUUUUCAUGUACAACUUUCUCCAUGCAAGAACGCGUACAUCCAAACAUCACAACGACGUGCAAACUAAUAUGUGACUAAACCACAAGCUAGGGGCAUGUAAUGAGAAAACGAAAAAUUAAUUGGCCCUUUAGGUUAAUUAUAACCACAGAAGAUCAUAAUUCUUGUCCAAAAAGAACUUCACUUUGUUCCAUUCAAAAGUCAACGAAAUAGAAAUCAAGCCAAGAACUUGAUCUGUUCUACUUCCAAAAAAUCACCCCUCCGAAACAUCCGGUUAUUUCUACUAUAUUCUUGUCAAGAAAAUUAAUUUUUAAAGGCCAGCUUUUUAAAUAUGUACUUAUGCCAGCUACUAGUGUUACAAGCCCUAAGUAUAUCGAAUCAACUGAUCCAGUCCCAACAAAGAGAGAUGCAUAAUAGCUCCUCCUUCACAAGAUCACCAAGCGAUCAAAAUACGAUUCGUUGGAAUCACGGAGAUCGAUUCGCUCG
Molecule: long non-coding RNA, 24044 nt
Filed under: Phoenix dactylifera (date palm)
Lineage: Eukaryota; Viridiplantae; Streptophyta; Magnoliopsida; Arecales; Arecaceae
Description: long non-coding RNA (PDAC_LNC002040)
Source: RNAcentral